UACAGAGGUCCCAAGCGUUGUUCGGAUUCACUGGGCGUAAAGGGUGCGUAGGUGGCUGGGUAAGUUUGAUGUGAAAUCUCCGGGCUUAACCCGGAAAAUGCAUUGAAUACUAUCCAGCUAGAGGUUUGGAGGGGGGACUGGAAUUCUUGGUGUAGCAGUGAAAUGCGUAGAUAUCAAGAGGAACACCAGUGGCGAAGGCGAGUCCCUGGACAAAUCCUGACACUGAGGCACGAAAGCUAGGGGAGCAAACAGG
Molecule: ribosomal RNA, 253 nt
Filed under: uncultured bacterium
Lineage: Bacteria
Description: partial 16S ribosomal RNA
Rfam family: Bacterial small subunit ribosomal RNA
Source: RNAcentral